This 309-nucleotide ribosomal RNA is filed under the name uncultured Tenacibaculum sp. RNAcentral describes it as "bacterial SSU rRNA". It matches the Rfam family "Bacterial small subunit ribosomal RNA", at positions 28 to 334 of the family's 1533-position model. Lineage: Bacteria; Pseudomonadati; Bacteroidota; Flavobacteriia; Flavobacteriales; Flavobacteriaceae. The record is from RNAcentral.
GAUGAACGCUAGCGGCAGGCUUAACACAUGCAAGUCGAGGGGUAACAUUGGUGCUUGCAUCAGAUGACGACCGGCGAACGGGUGCGUAACGCGUAUAGAAUCUGCCUUGUACAGGAGGAUAGCCUUUAGAAAUGAAGAUUAAUACUCCAUAAUAUUGGGAAGUGGCAUCACUAUCUAAUUAAACAUUUAUGGGUACAAGAUGACUAUGCGUCCUAUUAGCUAGAUGGUAAGGUAACGGCUUACCAUGGCAACGAUAGGUAGGGGGUCUGAGAGGAUUAUCCCCCACACUGGUACUGAGACACGGACCAG